RNAcentral lists this unclassified non-coding RNA (349 nucleotides) under soil metagenome. Its description in RNAcentral is "partial contains 5.8S ribosomal RNA, internal transcribed spacer 2, and large subunit ribosomal RNA". The stretch from base 1 to 120 matches the Rfam family "5.8S ribosomal RNA", at positions 35 to 154 of the family's 154-position model. The record is from RNAcentral.
GAUGAAGAACGUAGUGAAAUGCGAUAACUAAUGUGAAUUGCAGAAUUCCGUGAAUCAUCGAGUCUUUGAACGCACAUUGCGCCCCCUGGUAUUCCGGGGGGCAUGCCUGUCCGAGCGUCAUUGCUGCCCAUCAAGCACGGCUUGUGUGUUGGGUCCUCGUCCCCCCCGGGGGACGUGCCCGAAAGGCAGCGGCGGCACCGCGUCCGGUCCUCGAGCGUAUGGGGCUUUGUCACCCGCUCUGCAGGCCCGGCCGGCGCUGGCCAACGCGAAAGCAACCAUUUUUUCUCCAGGUUGACCUCGGAUCAGGUAGGGAUACCCGCUGAACUUAAGCAUAUCAAUAAGCGGAGGA